This 721-nucleotide ribosomal RNA is filed under the name uncultured bacterium. RNAcentral describes it as "bacterial SSU rRNA". It matches the Rfam family "Bacterial small subunit ribosomal RNA", at positions 782 to 1502 of the family's 1533-position model. The record is from RNAcentral.
AUACCCUGGUGGUCCACGCCGUAAACGAUGAGUGCUAGGUGUUGGACCCUUUCCGGGACUCAGUGCCGCAGCUAACGCAUUAAGCACUCCGCCUGGGGAGUACGACCGCAAGGUUGAAACUCAAAGGAAUUGACGGGGGCCCGCACAAGCGGUGGAGCAUGUGGUUUAAUUCGAAGCAACGCGAAGAACCUUACCAGGUCUUGACAUCCCGGUGCCCGUCCUAGAGAUAGGAUUUUGCUUCGGCACACCGGUGACAGGUGGUGCAUGGUUGUCGUCAGCUCGUGUCGUGAGAUGUUGGGUUAAGUCCCGCAACGAGCGCAACCCUUAUUGUUAGUUGCCAUCAUUCAGUUGGGCACUCUAGCGAGACUGCCGGUAAUAAACCGGAGGAAGGUGGGGAUGACGUCAAAUCAUCAUGCCCCUUAUGACCUGGGCUACACACGUGCUACAAUGGCUGGUACAACGAGUCGCAAGUCGGUGACGGCAAGCUAAUCUCUUAAAGCCAGUCUCAGUUCGGAUUGUAGGCUGCAACUCGCCUACAUGAAGUCGGAAUCGCUAGUAAUCGCGGAUCAGCACGCCGCGGUGAAUACGUUCCCGGGCCUUGUACACACCGCCCGUCACACCACGAGAGUUUGUAACACCCGAAGUCGGUGAGGUAACCUUUUAGGAGCCAGCCGCCUAAGGUGGGUUAGAUGAUUGGGGUGAAGUCGUAACAAGGUAGCCG